This 500-nucleotide ribosomal RNA is filed under the name uncultured bacterium. RNAcentral describes it as "partial 16S ribosomal RNA". It matches the Rfam family "Bacterial small subunit ribosomal RNA", at positions 30 to 523 of the family's 1533-position model. The record is from RNAcentral.
AUUGAACGCUGGCGGCAUGCUUUACACAUGCAAGUCGAACGGUAACAGGGUGCUUGCACCGCUGACGAGUGGCGAACGGGUGAGUAAUGCGUCGGAACGUGCCGAGUAGUGGGGGAUAACGCAGCGAAAGUUGUGCUAAUACCGCAUACGUACUGAGGUAGAAAGUGGGGGACCUUCGGGCCUCACGCUAUUCGAGCGGCCGACGUCUGAUUAGCUAGUAGGUGAGGUAAAGGCUCACCUAGGCGACGAUCAGUAGCGGGUCUGAGAGGAUGGUCCGCCACACUGGGACUGAGACAAGGCCCAGACUCCUACGGGAGGCAGCAGUGGGGAAUUUUGGACAAUGGGCGAAAGCCUGAUCCAGCCAUGCCGCGUGUCUGAAGAAGGCCUUCGGGUUGUAAAGGGCUUUUGUCAGGGAGGAAAUCCCUAGUGCUAAUAACACUGGGGGAUGACAGUACCUGAAGAAUAAGCACCGGCUAACUACGUGCCAGCCGCCGCCGUAA